GCCCACGCGCCGGCCUAGGGAGGGGCAGCCGGGCCGGCGCCUGUCCCGCUCGUUGCCGAGGCAACCUGAUGCGGCCUACUGGGCGUCAGCGCCUGCUGCGAGGCCCGUUCUGGGCGGGAGCAAGCAUAGCCGCUUCCCGCCUUCUCUGCGCACCAUGCACCACCACUUCUGGCGACGGGACACCAGUUCCAACUGCUGAGACGGGAUCAUCAUGGAGCAGAGAGACAACCAGCAGAGGCUCCAGAACUUCCCCCUGCAGAAGGACGCCUUCCUGGAGCUGGGUGGUCCCAGAAGCCAGCUGGGAACUGAACAAUGAGGUGGCUGCAUUGCAAGAAAGUCAGCAGCCUGGCCCAUAAAGAGACUGUGUUGCUGUUACAUCCAGCAGCUCCCAGGCACGCAACCUGCAUGUUGUUACGUUCCUGCCGUGCUGUAUGCAAAUCUCAUAAUGAAGGCAAUGCUCCAGGGAGGUUCUGGAUUCACAGCCUUGCACAAGACUGGCCUUAGGAAAAUGGUGCCCUGGAUAAACUUGUGUUUUGUUGCCUCUGACUUUUGUGGGCAUAGCACCCCCCAUUUCCCUUGGCACCCAGGGGCUCCUCAACCCCUGCAUGCCCAUCCGGUGCUCUCUUUACCACUGGCCCCUGCAUUGUGCCCCCUUUGCCCCUAACCUCUACACAGUGCCCCCUUCAUCCACCCCUGCACUUUCCUCCCAUCUGUGCCCCCAACCCCAGCCCUGCGCUUCCAGCAUGCCCCAUCACACUGCCCCCCUGCCCAGUAUUGUCCACCCCCUUUGCCUAGCAACACCCAUGUUCCAUUGCUGGUGGCUACAGUGCCCUAGGCAUGGGCCCACUUUGCCCAGCCCCAUGGCCAGUCUGGCCCUGCACACAAACUCUUGGUUUAAUUUACUGCACAGAUACAGCCUGUGGGUGCCAGCUUCCCUGCUCUAUCAAAGGGCCUCAUCCCUGGCUUGGAAGGAGCACCCAAAGGGAGACAGCGCGACCCAGUUCUUGGGGUCCAAGGCACAUGUUCCACUCCAGCUCUGCCUUUGAGUUGCUCACACUCUGGGCAAGGGACGUCACCUCUUUGACUCAGUUUUCCCACUCUGUAAAAUGGAAGUAGCGAGGUGUGCCCAUCUUUGUCAAGUGCCUGGGAAAUACAGCUGAAGGACACCAGACAUUAUUUCAGGUCUCCAGCCUGGCCCAGCCAUGGCCUCCUGCUGAGAACUGGCAACAGAGGCAUCCCCUGUGGUAAUAAUGGCAUCUGUGAUGUCGAUAUCAAAAGUAACAGCUCCCUCAUGCUUGAACACCUCGCAAUCUUCAACACCUCCACAACACUCCUGUAAGGCAGGGCAGGGCAAAUAGUUCCACUCACCAGCUAGUGCACAGAGAGGCUAAGGGACUUGCCCAGGGCCACACAGGAAGUCUGUGGUGGAAUGGAUACAUUAACCCAGGGCUCUCAAGUGCCAGGCCAGUGCCCCAAAGACUGGACUACCUUUGACCUCUUAAGGGGACCAAAAUAUGCUCAUGUUCCAACCACUGUGUUUUCUUUUCUCCUCAGUAGCCCAGGACCACAAACUCCUAUCUCACAGGAGUCAGGAGCUGGUACAUACCACCAAUCAUGGCUUUAUCCAGACCAGUGACCUACGUCCGAUGUCGUUUGUCUCCUUGCCUAUUGCCUGAGACCACCUGGGCUACUCCUUUAUUUAUGAUCUUGUCCAAAGCUGACUGAAAUCAAUACCAGUCUUUCCACUGAUUUCAGUGGCCGUUGGCGUGAUCCAUUGGUGAGUGAAGUGCAUUUUCACACGCCUGGUAGCGAGAUGACAACCCCAUUCCCUGAGCCGGCUUUCCCAUGAAAGCUCAUGAUACCAUCUACAUGUUUUGUUAGUCUAUAAAGUGCUACCGGACCAUUUGCUUGCUGGUUUUUUCAUGUAAUCUCUGUUAGUGUGCAAAGAGCCAUAAUCAUAAAAGCCUUUGGGAGGAAAAGUAAUAGAUAUGUAGCCGUGUUAGUCUGGUCUAGCUGAAACAAAAAAACAGGACUAAAGCAGCCAUUGCACAUGUUUAUUUUAACCUCCAAUGCAGUGACACAGUUGAAAGCCCAGGUGGAAAAUGAGGUUAAUGAUCUCUUAGAAUUAUAGGUUAGAAUUCCCAGCACAGCCCAACUCCAUUACCAGAAAGUGCCUUGAAACACAUCUGCUAAUGAGGCACCCCGGCGGGGG
Pelodiscus sinensis (Chinese soft-shelled turtle) is the source of this 2212-nucleotide non-coding RNA. The record is from RefSeq and is a predicted model, not a curated record. NCBI's taxonomy places the organism in Eukaryota, Metazoa, Chordata, Testudines, Trionychidae.